RNAcentral lists this small RNA (56 nucleotides) under Arabidopsis thaliana (thale cress). RNAcentral's name for it is "ATSL213890". Lineage: Eukaryota; Viridiplantae; Streptophyta; Magnoliopsida; Brassicales; Brassicaceae. The record is from RNAcentral.
AUGCAACUUCCUUCUCUUUUCAAGACCCGAUUUAACUCUAGCAUAAACCCAAUUGA